AACACCAGUGGGCCUGCCUUUAACUUGCAAGUCGAACGGUUAAGGCCCCUUCGGGGGUACACGAGUGGCGAACGGGUGAGUAACACGUGGGUAAUCUGCCCUGCACUUCGGGAUAAGCCUGGGAAACCGGGUCUAAUACCGGAUAUGAACUCCUGCCGCAUGGUGGGGGUUGGAAAGUUUUUCGGUGCAGGAUGAGCCCGCGGCCUAUCAGCUUGUUGGUGGGGUAAUGGCCUACCAAGGCGACGACGGGUAGCCGGCCUGAGAGGGUGAUCGGCCACACUGGGACUGAGACACGGCCCAGACUCCUACGGGAGGCAGCAGUGGGGAAUAUUGCACAAUGGGCGAAAGCCUGAUGCAGCGACGCCGCGUGGGGGAUGACGGUCUUCGGAUUGUAAACCCCUUUCAGUAGGGACGAAGCGCAAGUGACGGUACCUGCAGAAGAAGCACCGGCUAACUACGUGCCAGCAGCCGCGGUAAUACGUAGGGUGCGAGCGUUGUCCGGAAUUACUGGGCGUAAAGAGCUCGUAGGCGGUUUGUCACGUCGUCUGUGAAAUCCCUCGGCUUAACCGGGGGCGUGCAGGCGAUACGGGCAGACUUGAGUACUACAGGGGAGACUGGAAUUCCUGGUGUAGCGGUGAAAUGCGCAGAUAUCAGGAGGAACACCGGUGGCGAAGGCGGGUCUCUGGGUAGUAACUGACGCUGAGGAGCGAAAGCAUGGGUAGCGAACAGGAUUAGAUACCCUGGUAGUCCAUGCCGUAAACGGUGGGCGCUAGGUGUGGGGGUCCUUCCACGGACUCCGUGCCGUAGCUAACGCAUUAAGCGCCCCGCCUGGGGAGUACGG
Molecule: ribosomal RNA, 841 nt
Filed under: uncultured Dietzia sp.
Lineage: Bacteria; Bacillati; Actinomycetota; Actinomycetes; Mycobacteriales; Dietziaceae
Description: bacterial SSU rRNA
Rfam family: Bacterial small subunit ribosomal RNA
Source: RNAcentral